This 402-nucleotide ribosomal RNA is filed under the name uncultured Oceanicella sp. RNAcentral describes it as "bacterial SSU rRNA". It matches the Rfam family "Bacterial small subunit ribosomal RNA", at positions 353 to 772 of the family's 1533-position model. The record is from RNAcentral. Lineage: Bacteria; Pseudomonadati; Pseudomonadota; Alphaproteobacteria; Rhodobacterales; Paracoccaceae.
AGUGGGGAAUCUUGGACAAUGGGGGCAACCCUGAUCCAGCCAUGCCGCGUGAGCGAUGAAGGCCUUAGGGUUGUAAAGCUCUUUCAGCGGGGAAGAUAAUGACGGUACCCGCAGAAGAAGCCCCGGCUAACUCCGUGCCAGCAGCCGCGGUAAUACGGAGGGGGCUAGCGUUGUUCGGAAUUACUGGGCGUAAAGCGCACGUAGGCGGAUCAGUUAGUCGGGGGUGAAAUCCCGGGGCUCAACCCCGGAACUGCCUUUGAUACUGCUGGUCUUGAGGUCGAGAGAGGUGAGUGGAAUUCCGAGUGUAGAGGUGAAAUUCGUAGAUAUUCGGAGGAACACCAGUGGCGAAGGCGGCUCACUGGCUCGAUACUGACGCUGAGGUGCGAAAGCGUGGGGAGCAAA